UACGUAGGGUGCGAGCGUUAAUCGGAAUUACUGGGCGUAAAGCGUGCGCAGGCGGAUUGUUAAGCGAGAUGUGAAAUCCCCGGGCUUAACCUGGGAAUGGCAUUUUGAACUGGCAGUCUAGAGUGUGUCAGAGGGGGGUGGAAUUCCACGUGUAGCAGUGAAAUGCGUAGAUAUGUGGAGGAACCCCUAUGGCGAAGGCAGCCCCCUGGGUUACCCCUGUCGCUCAUGUGCGAAAGCGUGGGUAGCAAUCAGG
Molecule: ribosomal RNA, 253 nt
Filed under: uncultured bacterium
Lineage: Bacteria
Description: partial 16S ribosomal RNA
Rfam family: Bacterial small subunit ribosomal RNA
Source: RNAcentral